Molecule: ribosomal RNA, 651 nt
Filed under: uncultured bacterium
Lineage: Bacteria
Description: bacterial SSU rRNA
Rfam family: Bacterial small subunit ribosomal RNA
Source: RNAcentral
CUCGUGGUGUCGCAGCUAACGCAAUAAGCACCCCGCCUGGGGAGUACGGCCGCAAGGCUAAAACUCAAAGGAAUUGACGGGGGCCCGCACAAGCGGUGGAGCAUGUGGUUUAAUUCGACGCAACGCGCAGAACCCUACCUGGGCUAGAAAGUGUACGAAUCUGGGUGAAAACUCGGAGUGCUCUUCGGAGAAUCUACAGUUAGGUGUUGCGUGGCUGUCGUCAUCUCGUGUCGUGAGAUGUUGGGUUAAGUCCCGCAACGAGCGCAACCCUUGUGGUUAGUUGCCAGCAUUAAUUUGGGCACUCUAACCAGACUGCCGACCUUUAAGUCGGAGGAAGGUGGAGAUGACGUCAAGUCCUCAUGGCCCCUAUGUCCAGGGCUACACACGUGCUACGAUGGCCGGUACAGAGGGCUGCCAGACCGCGAGGUGGAGCGAAUCUCAAAAAACCGGCCUCACUACGGAUAGGAGUCUGCUACUCGACUCCUUGAAGGCGGAAUCGCUAGUAAUCCCUGAUCAGCAUGGCAGGGGUGAAUACGUUCCCGGGCCUUGUACACACCGCCCGUCACACCAUGGGAGUUGAUUGCUCCAGACGUGGCUGAGCUAACCCGCAAGGGAAGCACGUCCCCAAGGAGUGAUCCGUAACUGGGGUGA